Long non-coding RNA from Drosophila ficusphila, 918 nucleotides. RefSeq lists it as uncharacterized. The record is from RefSeq and is a predicted model, not a curated record. The transcript is spliced from 2 exons. Lineage: Eukaryota; Metazoa; Arthropoda; Insecta; Diptera; Drosophilidae.
AACAAAGUUGUAUGCGCCUCCCAAGACACUCCUCCCACCUCCUCCCAAAUUCCCAUCCUCUUCAGUUUUAUAAGCUUCAUUUAAUUAUAUUGACAUUGUUGGAGUCUGGUUUUUUUCUUUUCUGGUUCAGGUAGGCAAGCUUGUUUCCUGGGAAAAUUCUCCAGGAGUGACACCCGAAUCGAGGGUGCCGUAUCCUUAUCCCACGUUCCCCAUUUGAACUUAAAUGCCAUAAAAAUGGGAGAAUAAUGUCAAAACGGGAAGAGGAGCUACGUAGCAAAAAAAAAAAACGCCACCAGAGCCGAGCAACAAAACCUGAUAAUAGAAAUAGCGAGAGCUCCACGAGAAACGGAAAAAGCAAGGACUCAGUGCGCCACGCAUAAAGUUUGCACAUAAAUUUUCCGGGAAAAGAACCGCUGAGCAUGCCAUUGACUUUAAAGGCCACAAAUGGCAAUCGAGGGGUCGCGGGAAUCUGGGUGGAUUUGAGGUGAGGUCAGGGUUCGCCAGCUGGAGCAGCAGCCACCAAAAGCAGAACAAGUAGGGAAAUGUUCAAAGGAAGCUGCAAAGCGAGUCGAGCAAUCAAAGUCGGGGAAAAGGACGUCGAGGGAGCGAGGGGGCGAGGGGCUUUCUGACUGACAAUGGCCAGGGAAAAGGCAAAUGCCAAGCAAAUUGAAAAUGCGACGAAAAACGUGAGAUGCCGUCUUACCACUCCUCGCACGCCGGUACACAGAAAAGUAUUUGUAGGUGGAAAACAUUAAGUAACUAACAAAAUUAAUUAUAAAUUGAAUUAAUAAAUAUAAGAUUUUUUGGACUAAAAAGCUAUUCGAAAUCCCAGAAUGCAAACCAGUUUGAUUACAUUGAACCUAUGUAAAAUUUAAAUAUUUCAUAAGGCAAAAUAAAAAUAUAAGAUUUUUAUUCCAC